GACAGGGGUGCAGUAUUCUGCUGAGAUAUGACCCUUUGUACCUGAUCUAGGUUAUGCUAGCGUAGGGAGUUCCAAA
RNAcentral lists this non-coding RNA (76 nucleotides) under bovine gut metagenome. Its description in RNAcentral is "TPP riboswitch (THI element)". It matches the Rfam family "TPP riboswitch aptamer (THI element)", at positions 9 to 90 of the family's 105-position model. Rfam says of the family: Vitamin B(1) in its active form thiamin pyrophosphate (TPP) is an essential coenzyme that is synthesised by coupling of pyrimidine and thiazole moieties in bacteria. The previously detected thiamin-regulatory element, thi box was extended, resulting in a new, highly conserved RNA secondary structure, the THI element, which is widely distributed in eubacteria and also occurs in some archaea. The record is from RNAcentral.